UCAGUGGAAGCCAGGUCUCUGUCUACUUACAUAGUUUAUUUCAUUUGAUCCUUCCAACGGGCCUGUGAGGAAGCUAUUAUAUGCCAUCUACCAAAGAGGAAACAGACUCAAGAGAGGUUAAGUUCAAGGCUUGUAGGAAGAAGAUAUGUAAAGAUGCAGACGAGGUGAGAAUACACAGGAGUUCUCUCUGAACAGCUGGAGAUGGGAGCUCCUGGGAGCAUCAAGAAGCAAGAGGCUAUGAGCUGAAUGGGGGAGAUGUGGAGGAGCCAGUAUGGAACCAGAGGCGUGAAGGGGGAGGUACACAGAGGAAGAGGUCGGUGUUCAGACAGCUUCAGUCAUGGCACUGGUUUAAGACUCACAUUUCCUCUUUUGGCCAAAUCCAAAGAAGAAUGUGUGAUUUUACAGACACUUAGUUCUGUGAUAUCAAGGGACAUUCAAGACAAGAGCUACACACCCGCCUUGUGACAUGAAGGACCUACAGCAUGAAACCUUGCCAUCAUCCUGCCCCUCCUGGGAAAUUUCCUAAAAGGACUGGGCUCUAGGACAAACCAACCUCCUUCCUUAUUUUGACUCAAAUAGAUUUCAGAAGGGCACAGACUUUUUCCCCGUGAUGGGACUCCUUCAAAGAGGUACCUGACAUUUCAUGUUGGGCUGCAAAUGCGUUUCCAGCUCUCUCUCUCAAAUGAAGUGCUUUCACCUGCCAUUGACUUUCACCAAUAACACUUUUGCCCAAUGACA
This is a long non-coding RNA of Suricata suricatta (meerkat), 738 nucleotides long. RefSeq lists it as uncharacterized. The transcript has 3 exons. NCBI's taxonomy places the organism in Eukaryota, Metazoa, Chordata, Mammalia, Carnivora, Herpestidae. The record is from RefSeq and is a predicted model, not a curated record.